GCAAUUUCCUUUAAUUAUAUUAUUUUUUUCUUGACACUUAAACAAUGAUGAGUGAUAACAUAAUUACAUGUUUAUAUAGAAAUCUGUAUCAAAACUCAAGUAGCAUUACCUCCAAAUCGAUUUAAACUUCAUCAUAUUAUCAUCAGAACAUCAUAAUCCAAACCACUUAAUCAUUUAACGCAAUUCAAUCCUAUUUCACUUUGU
Molecule: long non-coding RNA, 204 nt
Filed under: Mytilus galloprovincialis (Mediterranean mussel)
Lineage: Eukaryota; Metazoa; Mollusca; Bivalvia; Mytilida; Mytilidae
Source: RNAcentral